GAGUUUGAUCAUGGCUCAGGAUGAACGCUAGCGGCAGGCUUAACACAUGCAAGUCGAGGGGCAUCGGGAGGGAAGCUUGCUUUCCUUGCCGGCGACCGGCGCACGGGUGAGUAACACGUAUGCAACCUGCCCUCUUCAGGGGGACAACCUUCCGAAAGGGAGGCUAAUCCCGCGUAUAUCGGUUUCGGGCAUCCGAGAUCGAGGAAAGAUUCAUCGGAAGAGGAUGGGCAUGCGGCGCAUUAGCUUGACGGCGGGGUAACGGCCCACCGUGGCGACGAUGCGUAGGGGUUCUGAGAGGAAGGUCCCCCACACUGGUACUGAGACACGGACCAGACUCCUACGGGAGGCAGCAGUGAGGAAUAUUGGUCAAUGGGAGAGAUCCUGAACCAGCCAAGCCGCGUGAGGGAAGACGGCCCUAUGGGUUGUAAACCUCUUUUGUCGGAGAACAAAACCCGGGACGUGUCCCGGACUGCGUGUAUCCGAAGAAAAAGCAUCGGCUAACUCCGUGCCAGCAGCCGCGGUAAUACGGAGGAUGCGAGCGUUAUCCGGAUUUAUUGGGUUUAAAGGGUGCGUAGGCGGUCCGUUAAGUCAGCGGUAAAAUUGCGGGGCUCAACCCCGUCGAGCCGUUGAAACUGGCAGACUUGAGUUGGCGAGAAGUACGCGGAAUGCGCGGUGUAGCGGUGAAAUGCAUAGAUAUCGCGCAGAACUCCGAUUGCGAAGGCAGCGUACCGGCGCCACACUGACGCUGAGGCACGAAAGCGUGGGGAUCGAACAGGAUUAGAUACCCUGGUAGUCCACGCAGUAAACGAUGAAUGCUGGUUGUCCGGGUCGAAUGAGAUCUGGGCGGCGAAGCGAAAGCGAUAAGCAUUCCACCUGGGGAGUACGCCGGCAACGGUGAAACUCAAAGGAAUUGACGG
This 917-nucleotide ribosomal RNA is filed under the name uncultured bacterium. RNAcentral describes it as "bacterial SSU rRNA". It matches the Rfam family "Bacterial small subunit ribosomal RNA", at positions 9 to 916 of the family's 1533-position model. The record is from RNAcentral.